UACGGAGGGUGCGAGCGUUAAUCGGAAUUACUGGGCGUAAAGCGCAUGCAGGUGGUUUGUUAAGUCAGAUGUGAAAGCCCGGGGCUCAACCUCGGAAUUGCAUUUGAAACUGGCAGACUAGAGUACUGUAGAGGGGGUAGAAUUUCAGGUGUAGCGGUGAAAAUGCGUAGAGAUCUGAAGGAAUACCGGUGGCGAAGGCGGCCCCCUGGACAGAUACUGACACUCAGAUGCGAAAGCGUGGGGAGCAAACAGGAUUAGAUACCCUGGUAG
This 270-nucleotide ribosomal RNA is filed under the name uncultured bacterium. RNAcentral's name for it is "partial 16S ribosomal RNA". It matches the Rfam family "Bacterial small subunit ribosomal RNA", at positions 524 to 793 of the family's 1533-position model. The record is from RNAcentral.